GACGAACGCUGGCGGCGUGCCUAAUACAUGCAAGUUGAACGCUAAAGCUUUAACUGGUGCUUGCACCGACUUAAGUUUUUAGAGUAGCGGACGGGUGAGUAACACGUGGGUAACCUGCCCAUCAGAGGGGGAUAACACUUGGAAACAGGUGCUAAUACCGCAUAAUUCCUUUUACCGCAUGGUAAAAGGCUGAAAGGCGCUUCUGGUGUCACUGAUGGAUGGACCCGCGGUGCAUUAGCUAGUCGGUGGGGUAACGGCCUACCGAGGCGAUGAUGCAUAGCCGACCUGAGAGGGUGAUCGGCCACAUUGGGACUGAGACACGGCCCAAACUCCUACGGGAGGCAGCAGUAGGGAAUCUUCGGCAAUGGACGAAAGUCUGACCGAGCAACGCCGCGUGAGGGAUGACGGCCUUCGGGUUGUAAACCUCUUUCAGUAGGGAAGAAGCGAAAGUGACGGUACCUGCAGAAGAAGCACCGGCUAACUACGUGCCAGCCGCCGCAGUAAAAC
Molecule: ribosomal RNA, 507 nt
Filed under: uncultured bacterium
Lineage: Bacteria
Description: bacterial SSU rRNA
Rfam family: Bacterial small subunit ribosomal RNA
Source: RNAcentral